Long non-coding RNA from Hyposmocoma kahamanoa, 561 nucleotides. RefSeq lists it as uncharacterized. The transcript is spliced from 4 exons. NCBI's taxonomy places the organism in Eukaryota, Metazoa, Arthropoda, Insecta, Lepidoptera, Cosmopterigidae. The record is from RefSeq and is a predicted model, not a curated record.
CCCCACCACUCACGGGGUAAAGAUUGCCUAAAGAAGCCCGGUAUUGUAUAGAAUGACUAGGUUUUCUAUACAAUCCCUGAAUUAUACACAUGGCCUUUCAAGGUGUAUUUAUUUCUGGUGGUACAAUUACUGGCAGAAGCAGGAAUUUUGUGGAUGUUUAUUUCCGUUCGUGAAAUAUACGUUCUUUUAUCAAAGAGACAAAAUGCAACUUUAUUCGUAGCCUUUGCAAUCCCAUUCUUUACUUACGUUACGCUGAGUUACUGGUCUGUGUCGUUGCAACGCAAAGUGCCAUUCAACUACAUAUUUCUCUUUAUUUGGACGCUGCCCAUUGGUUUCACAUAUGGAUGCUUCUCAAACUACAAUGGAAUCGACACCACAUUACAAUUGAGCUCAGGCCACACAGAGAUGGUAUAGAGGGAAAAAGGGUCCGGGACGGUCCUGCGGGAAACGAAUGCGUGCCGGGGCAUGCCACACACCAGUCCCAAACGUAGUUCCCGGCGGAAUAGCGGAGCGAAGGCGGCCAGAGUGACACCAAAAGCAGCUACGUUUCAUUGUCUACAC